This 863-nucleotide ribosomal RNA is filed under the name Salmonella enterica. RNAcentral describes it as "partial 23S ribosomal RNA". It matches the Rfam family "Bacterial large subunit ribosomal RNA", at positions 2071 to 2925 of the family's 2925-position model. Lineage: Bacteria; Pseudomonadati; Pseudomonadota; Gammaproteobacteria; Enterobacterales; Enterobacteriaceae. The record is from RNAcentral. RNAcentral also lists the same sequence under 2 other names.
CGCGGCAAGACGGAAAGACCCCGUGAACCUUUACUAUAGCUUGACACUGAACAUUGAGCCUUGAUGUGUAGGAUAGGUGGGAGGCUUUGAAGUGUGGACGCCAGUCUGCAUGGAGCCGACCUUGAAAUACCACCCUUUAAUGUUUGAUGUUCUAACGUGGACCCGUUACCCGGGUUGCGGACAGUGUCUGGUGGGUAGUUUGACUGGGGCGGUCUCCUCCUAAAGAGUAACGGAGGAGCACGAAGGUUGGCUAAUCCUGGUCGGACAUCAGGAGGUUAGUGCAAUGGCAUAAGCCAGCUUGACUGCGAGCGUGACGGCGCGAGCAGGUGCGAAAGCAGGUCAUAGUGAUCCGGUGGUUCUGAAUGGAAGGGCCAUCGCUCAACGGAUAAAAGGUACUCCGGGGAUAACAGGCUGAUACCGCCCAAGAGUUCAUAUCGACGGCGGUGUUUGGCACCUCGAUGUCGGCUCAUCACAUCCUGGGGCUGAAGUAGGUCCCAAGGGUAUGGCUGUUCGCCAUUUAAAGUGGUACGCGAGCUGGGUUUAGAACGUCGUGAGACAGUUCGGUCCCUAUCUGCCGUGGGCGCUGGAGAACUGAGGGGGGCUGCUCCUAGUACGAGAGGACCGGAGUGGACGCAUCACUGGUGUUCGGGUUGUCAUGCCAAUGGCACUGCCCGGUAGCUAAAUGCGGAAGAGAUAAGUGCUGAAAGCAUCUAAGCACGAAACUUGCCCCGAGAUGAGUUCUCCCUGAGACUUAGAGUCUCCUGAAGGAACGUUGAAGACGACGACGUUGAUAGGCCGGGUGUGUAAGCGCAGCGAUGCGUUGAGCUAACCGGUACUAAUGAACCGUGAGGCUUAACCUUACA